GACGUAGGGCGCGAGCGUUGUCCGGAUUUAUUGGGCGUAAAGAGCUCGUAGGCGGCUUGUCGCGUCGUCCGUGAAAACUCACAACUCAAUUGUGGGCGUGCGGGCGAUACGGGCAGACUGGAGUACUGCAGGGGAGACUGGAAUUCUUGGUGUAGCGGUGGAAUGCGCAGAUAUCAGGAGGAACACCGGUGGCGAAGGCGGGCCUCUGGGCAGUAACUGACGCUGAGGAGCGAAAGCGUGGGGAGCGAACAGG
Molecule: ribosomal RNA, 253 nt
Filed under: uncultured bacterium
Lineage: Bacteria
Description: partial 16S ribosomal RNA
Rfam family: Bacterial small subunit ribosomal RNA
Source: RNAcentral